CACGUAGUUAGCCGAGGCUUCUUAGUCAGGUACCGUCAUUAUCUUCCCUGCUGAUAGAGCUUUACAUACCGAAAUACUUCUUCACUCACGCGGCGUCGCUGCAUCAGGGUUUCCCCCAUUGUGCAAUAUUCCCCACUGCUGCCUCCCGUAGGAGUCUGGGCCGUGUCUCAGUCCCAAUGUGGCCGUUCACUCUCUCAAGCCGGCUACUGAUCGUCGCCUUGGUAGGCCGUUACCCCACCAACAAGCUAAUCAGACGCGGGUCCAUCUCACAGCGAUAAAUCUUUGAAAGGAUCGUCAUGCGGCAAUCCCUUGUUAUGCGGUAUUAGCAGCCGUUUCCGGCUGUUGUCCCCCUCUGUGAGGCAGGUUACCCACGCGUUACUCACCCGUCCGCCACUCAGUCAUUACCAUCUUCCCUCCGAAAAGUUCCGUCGGUAGCGCUUCGUCGACUUGCAUGUGUUAAGCACGCCGCCAGCGUUCAUCCUGAGCCAGG
RNAcentral lists this ribosomal RNA (490 nucleotides) under uncultured Lachnospiraceae bacterium. RNAcentral describes it as "partial 16S ribosomal RNA". The record is from RNAcentral. Lineage: Bacteria; Bacillati; Bacillota; Clostridia; Lachnospirales; Lachnospiraceae.